AAGCAGAUUUUCCCCCAGAGCAUCCAGAUAAGAACUCAGUCCACUCAACAUCUUCAGCUUUGUGAUAUUCCAGGCAUAUUGUGCUGAACUUCUGACUUACAGAACUAGUCAGUCCUGAAAGGAUUAUAAAAGCAAGAAAGAAACAUGGACUCUAAGAAUUAACAACAGUGUGGGAAGCCACGGAGGAGAUUUAUGACUACCCUAAAUUGGUUUGUGUUUGGAUGGAUGACUAUUUCCUGCUCUUUAUUACUAGAAAUUGGCAGCAACAUCUCAGAUUGGAUAAUGGUACUGGUGGAAUAAUUACCAGAAAGAAAAAAACAUCCCCACUAAAGUGAUGAAAACAUGUACAGAUUGUCCAACCUUUUGCUUUUGUACCACUUCCCCUUCCAGAUGUCAGGGUUGUGAUUUAUUUCUCCCUAAGAGUUUAAAAAUAAAACUCUCAUCAUAAAAUUUGCCUGAUACUGAUGAAAAAUAAGAUGUAGUAAUUUAGGCUUUCAGACUAGACUCAGAAAUAGAAUCCAUUAAUAUUUUUUUACUAGGGAUCCAUUUAAAAACAUCUAAACAUGAUGAAAAUGAAAGAAUGGAGAGAAAUAUGCCAGGUAAAUAUAAACUUAAAAGAAAGCUGGGGAAACUAUCAAUAUCUGACAAAAAUAGAUUUUCAUGUAAAAAAAUGUGGCACACAUACACCAUGGAAUACUAUGCAGCCAUAAAAAAGGAUGAGUUCAUGUCCUUUGUAGGGACAUGGAUGAAGCUGGAAACCAUCAUUCUCAGCAAACUAUUGCAAGGACAAAAAAACAUACACCACAUGUUCUCACUCACAGGUGGGAAUUGAACAAUGAGAACACAUGGACACAGGAAGGGGA
RNAcentral lists this long non-coding RNA (863 nucleotides) under Homo sapiens (human). RNAcentral describes it as "non-protein coding lnc-ARSJ-1:9". The record is from RNAcentral. Lineage: Eukaryota; Metazoa; Chordata; Mammalia; Primates; Hominidae.